UCCAGACUCCUACGGGAGGCAGCAGUGGGGAAUAUUGCACAAUGGGGGAAACCCUGAUGCAGCGACGCCGCGUGAGUGAAGAAGUAAUUCGUUAUGUAAAGCUCUAUCAGCAGGGAAGAAAAUGACGGUACCUGAGUAAGAAGCCCCGGCUAACUACGUGCCAGCAGCCGCGGUAAUACGUAGGGGGCAAGCGUUAUCCGGAUUUACUGGGUGUAAAGGGAGCGUAGGCGGCCUGGCAAGCCUGAUGUGAAAUACCGGGGCCCAACCCCGGGGCUGCAUUGGGAACUGCCAGGCUGGAGUGCCGGAGAGGCAGGCGGAAUUCCUAGUGUAGCGGUGAAAUGCGUAGAUAUUAGGAGGAACACCAGUGGCGAAGGCGGCCUGCUGGACGGUGACUGACGCUGAGGCUCGAAAGCGUGGGGAGCAAACAGGAUUAGAUACCCGCGUA
Molecule: ribosomal RNA, 445 nt
Filed under: uncultured bacterium
Lineage: Bacteria
Description: bacterial SSU rRNA
Rfam family: Bacterial small subunit ribosomal RNA
Source: RNAcentral